Molecule: long non-coding RNA, 257 nt
Filed under: Nicotiana benthamiana
Lineage: Eukaryota; Viridiplantae; Streptophyta; Magnoliopsida; Solanales; Solanaceae
Description: long non-coding RNA (NBEN_LNC014131)
Source: RNAcentral
UUCUCCCGUUUGAAAAGAAUUUAACUUUCGUGGUAUUUGAUAUUAAACAAUAAAGUAGUAAUCUUGGAAGGAAAAAAGAGCUAAAUAAGCUGAAAAGGCUUGGUUUUUCUUGAAAGAGAAUAAAUUGAUUGAGCUGUGGCCAUGUUCUAAAAUGAGAAGGUAGAAGCUAAGAGUAUGGUGAUGGACUGAUUGUUUUAUUUUGUGAUGGGAAAAAAGAGAAGAAAUGGGAAAGGUAAAAGGAAAAAGUGGAGGGAAAA